Molecule: ribosomal RNA, 259 nt
Filed under: uncultured bacterium
Lineage: Bacteria
Description: partial 16S ribosomal RNA
Rfam family: Bacterial small subunit ribosomal RNA
Source: RNAcentral
GUCCACGCCGUAAACGAUGUCGACUAGCCGUUGGAGACCUUAGAGUUUUUAGUGGCGCAGCUAACGCAAUAAGUCGACCGCCUGGGGAGUACGGCCGCAAGGUUAAAACUCAAAUGAAUUGACGGGGGCCCGCACAAGCGGUGGAGCAUGUGGUUUAAUUCGAAGCAACGCGAAGAACCUUACCAAGUCUUGACAUCCUGCGAACUUUCUAGAGAUAGAUUGGUGCCUUCGGGAACGCAGUGACAGGUGCUGCAUGGCU